AAACCAACAGGGAUUACCUUAGUAGCGGCGAGUGAAGAGGUAAAAGCUCAAAUUUGAAAUCUGCCAACAGGCCGAGUUGUAAUUUGAAGAUGGCAUUCAUGGAUUGUCCGUGCUCAAGUUUCUUGGAAUAGAACAUCAUGGAGGGUGAGAAUCCCGUGAGGCAUGGGUCGCAAUUCUUUGUUGUUUGCUUUCGACGAGUCGAGUUGUUUGGGAAUGCAGCUCCAAGUGGGUGGUAAAUUCCAUCUAAAGCUAAAUAUUGGCGAGAGACCGAUAGCGAAAAAGUACUGUGAAGGAAAGAUGAAAAGAACUUUGAAAAGAGAGUGAAAAAGUACGUGAAAUUGUUGAAAUGGAAGGGCUUAAAGUUAGACAUGAUGUUUACGUUCCACUGCCGUUUGGUUGUGUACUCGUGCUCAUCGGGCCAACAUCAGUUUGGAGGAUAGGAUAAAAAGCAUGGAAUGUAGCAACUCUCGGGUUGUGUUAUAGACUUGCUAAAUACUGUCACUCUAGACUGAGGACCGCUUAUAGGAUGUUGGCGUAAUGACUUUAAGCCAC
Molecule: ribosomal RNA, 552 nt
Filed under: Wickerhamiella pterostichi
Lineage: Eukaryota; Fungi; Ascomycota; Dipodascomycetes; Dipodascales; Trichomonascaceae
Description: partial 26S ribosomal RNA
Rfam family: Eukaryotic large subunit ribosomal RNA
Source: RNAcentral